GAUGAACGCUGGCGGCGUGCUUAACACAUGCAAGUCGAACGGGAAACCCAUUAUUGAAACUUCGGUUGAUUUAAUUUGUUUCUAGUGGCGGACGGGUGAGUAACGCGUGGGUAACCUGCCCUAUACAGGGGGAUAACAACCAGAAAUGGUUGCUAAUACCGCAUAAGCGCACAGGACCGCAUGGUCCAGUGUGAAAAACUCCGGUGGUAUAGGAUGGACCCGCGUUGGAUUAGCUAGUUGGUGGGGUAACGGCCCACCAAGGCAACGAUCCAUAGCCGGCCUGAGGGGGUGAACGGCCACAUUGGGACUGAGACACGGCCCAGACUCCUACGGGAGGCAGCAGUGGGGAAUAUUGCACAAUGGGGGAAACCCUGAUGCAGCGACGCCGCGUGAAGGAAGAAGUAUCUCGGUAUGUAAACUUCUAUCAGCAGGGAAGAU
RNAcentral lists this ribosomal RNA (438 nucleotides) under uncultured bacterium. RNAcentral's name for it is "bacterial SSU rRNA". It matches the Rfam family "Bacterial small subunit ribosomal RNA", at positions 28 to 449 of the family's 1533-position model. The record is from RNAcentral.